This 563-nucleotide ribosomal RNA is filed under the name uncultured Methanosarcina sp. RNAcentral's name for it is "bacterial SSU rRNA". It matches the Rfam family "Archaeal small subunit ribosomal RNA", at positions 339 to 903 of the family's 1478-position model. The record is from RNAcentral. Lineage: Archaea; Methanobacteriati; Methanobacteriota; Methanomicrobia; Methanosarcinales; Methanosarcinaceae.
GCGCGAAAACUUUACAAUGCGGGAAACCGUGAUAAGGGGACACCGAGUGCCAGCAUCAUAUGCUGGCUGUCCAGAUGUGUAAAAUACAUCUGUUAGCAAGGGCCGGGCAAGACCGGUGCCAGCCGCCGCGGUAACACCGGCGGCCCGAGUGGUGAUCGUGAUUAUUGGGUCUAAAGGGUCCGUAGCCGGUUUGGUCAGUCCUCCGGGAAAUCUGAUAGCUCAACUAUUAGGCUUUCGGGGGAUACUGCCAGACUUGGAACCGGGAGAGGUAAGAGGUACUACAGGGGUAGGAGUGAAAUCUUGUAAUCCCUGUGGGACCACCUGUGGCGAAGGCGUCUUACCAGAACGGGUUCGACGGUGAGGGACGAAAGCUGGGGGCACGAACCGGAUUAGAUACCCGGGUAGUCCCAGCCGUAAACGAUGCUCGCUAGGUGUCAGACAUGGCGCGACCGUGUCUGGUGCCGCAGGGAAGCCGUGAAGCGAGCCACCUGGGAAGUACGGCCGCAAGGCUGAAACUUAAAGGAAUUGGCGGGGAGCACAACAACGGGUGGAGCCUGCGGUUU